GAAUAGGAUCCUUCUUCGUACGCUGGCUAGAGUGUAUAUCUAUUAGUUGUUAUUAGUUGUUAUUGUUAUCGUUGUUAUUGUUGUUAUUAUCAUUAUUAUUAUUAUUAUUCUUGUUUGUAUCUCUUUUCCUUUUUCUUUUCUCUUUUUUUUUUUUUUUGAUCAUUUUUUCAAAAGAUCAAGUUUUCAAUCAAUAUUUACGCGCGAAUUAUAAUUAAACAUAGAUAGUGCCCUGGAAAAAAUAUAAAUGGUGUCCCUUUUAUUGGCCAAUAUCGCUUCGAGAGAUUAUAUAUAAAAGGCGCAAAAUGGAACGACAGAGAAGAAAACGAAGAGGAGCCCUAAACAUUUACAACGUACAUUCCUGAGGCUAUCUUUUUUUUUUUCUUUUUUUUUUCCUGCUCGACCCAGAACUCAUCGAAACCGUAGAGCGAAACGAACGAAAGCUAUCGUCGAUUGGCAUGAGGAGGGAGGGGAGAGAGAGAGAGAGAGAGAGAGAGAGAGAGAGAAUGGCUGUUGGCUUCCGAAAAAAAAAAAGAAAGAAAGAAAGAAAGAAAGAAAGAAAAAAAUGAAGAAAAAAAAGGAAAAGAGAAAGGAAGAAAAAAAACCAGAGAAAAUGAAUCGAAUCCACGGUACAACCCUUUACCUUUACCCAAAAAGAAAGGAAAAGCACGGAAGUAUUUUACAACUGGCUAAACACAAAAUCCUUUCCCCUCCCGGGGAAAAGGUAUAAUACUUAGGAAUAAUACCUGAGAGAGAAACUUAGAAAUAUUUUUCCAUUGAACGACACUUGAUACCGUUAGGUCACGAUAAUUUUUGCUAGUUUCUUUUUUCUAAGUUUAUCUGCAGCGCAGCGCAGUAAAGAAAAAGAAAAAGAAAAAAAAAAGAAAAAAAAGAAAAAAGAAAAAAGAAAAAAAAAACACACACACAGAAGAAGAAGAAGAAGAAAAAGAAGAAGAAGAAUAUUUUCAAAAUUAUUUUUCACCUGGAUUUUUUUGAAAAAGAAUUAUUAAGGAAGAAAAAAUAUUCACGGACUGAUUUUACGGACGGACAUUUUUCUUUAAAAUUUUUCUAAUACUAUCAUAUUAAUUUCAAUGAAACAAUUGAUUUCUAUGAAACAAUUUUACGAUCAAGGAAUAUAAAAUAAAUAUGAUUUAAAAAUUAUAUUAAAAGUUGUUGUAUGAAUAAUAUAACGCCAUGUUACCAAUUAACGGGUAUAAAUAGAUUAGCUCUUACCCCCUGUUUUUCAUCUUAUUGUUAAACGAAAAAGAAACUUUUUUAAUAGUUUUUACUCGAUAUUGACGUCUCUUCACUCGGUGCUCUAUUUAAUCAAUGUAACUACUCACUAUGGUCACUGCGUCGUUUAUAUCUACGUCUAUCCAUACCUACGUAAGUAUUAACGUACCUAUUUAUAUUGCUUGACACACUAGUUAAAGAUUUUUAUGUUACCUAAUCAAAUAGUCCAUAAGAGACCAUUUUCCAUAGGUACUUACAUUCAUAUUUAACUUCGGCUCUUCAUCCUACGAAACUCGUUUGAAUUUAUAAACAACUAGAAAUAUAAAAGAGAGAGAGAGAGAGAGAGAGAGAGAGAGAGAGAGAGAAAGGAGGAGAAAAACUAUGUCAAAUAAAUAAAUACAGAAAAAUAUAAUUAUUUACGUGUCAGAAUUUUUGCGACAAAGUGAAUGUCAUCGAAGUUAAAGUUAAAUAUUAUUUAUAUAUCUAUACUGAUUAUUCUUAUAGAUAUGGAUAAAUAACGAAGAGAUUGAUUGCUACGAUUUUAAUGGUUUAAGAAAAAAUAAAGAAAGAAAAAGAAAAAAAAAAAAAAAAAAAUAAGAGAAACAAAACGAGACGAAAAAAAAAACCAAAAAAUUAUUCCCCAUAAAAUUCAUCGAAAGCAUGAUUCAAUUAAAAAUUCAUUCGAGUCUCGAGAUUUAUUGUAUAAUAAGCACUUAAGAACGUCUUCUUCGUUUGCUCUCGUUUCAAAUACUUCCGAUACUAUAAUAGUACUGACUCAUUGACCUCGAAAUAGAGUGACUCUCUCUCUCUCUCUCUCUCUCUCUCUCUCUCUCUCUCACUAAACGUUAUGUUUGAUUAACGAUAGCGAUUGAAUUAUUCGAUCGUGAAUGUGUGUUGAAUUGUACGUGACACGAAAGACUAGCAUGAGUUUCUUCACGCUUUUGUAAUAAAUGGUUCCACGCUUUGUUUCUGAAUUAUCCAUUGCCGACCUUACAUUUGAUUUCGCACGAGCGAACCAUUUAAAAAGAAAAAAAAAAGAAAAAAAAAAAGAAAGAAAAAAAGAAAAAGAAAAAGGAAAGAAAAAGAAAGAAAAAAAAGAAAGAAAGAAUGUCAC
This is a long non-coding RNA of Vespa velutina, 2344 nucleotides long. RefSeq lists it as uncharacterized. Lineage: Eukaryota; Metazoa; Arthropoda; Insecta; Hymenoptera; Vespidae. The record is from RefSeq and is a predicted model, not a curated record. The transcript is spliced from 2 exons.